RNAcentral lists this long non-coding RNA (1637 nucleotides) under Marmota monax (woodchuck). The record is from RNAcentral. Lineage: Eukaryota; Metazoa; Chordata; Mammalia; Rodentia; Sciuridae.
UUAACUUCACCCUCUAUGCACCACCUGGCUCAUUCUUCUGGUGUAAUGGUUCUCUCAUCACUAUCGUAUUCACCAACACCUCUACCCCAUGUAUACUGGUGACGCUUGUCCCACUAUUGACUCUCUAUACCCCAGCUGAAGUGCAGGCCCUCUUGUCUCCCCCAGUGAGGAAUAAGCGGUCUGCUUUCCUUCCAAUACUGGUGGGUCUCUCACUGGCUGCAUCUGCGGUGGGAGCAGGAAUUUUUGGUGGAGCUCUAGGACACUCCUUAUGGGCUGUACAGGACUUAAGUUCUAAACUUGAACAAGCGCUCACUUCUACGGCAGAAUCUCUGGCAUCUUUACAAAGGCAGGUCACAUCCUUGGCUCAAGUUACUCUUCAAAAUCAACGAGCUAUAGACUUACUCACAGCCAAAAAAGGUGGAACCUGUCUUUUCUUGAGGGAAGAAUGCUGUUACUACAUCAAUGAAUCAGGCCUUGUGGAAACUAAUGUAGUCAAGCUCACCGACUUGGCUACCUCUUUGAAAAAUCCACCAAACCAAAUCCCAUUUGCCACCUUCUUUUUAGCCCACUUCCAAUCGUGGCUGUUGCCUCUUUUAGGGCCCAUAUGUCUCCUUUUCCUGAUGUGUCUGUUCCUGCCCUGUCUGCUUCACUUCCUACAGGGCCAAUUAUGGAAGAUGUCUAACCAAACUUUCAACCAGCUUCUGCUUUGGUACUAUCUGAUGACCGAUGAACCCCCAACAUCUUAAAGAGAACAGCUCACUCAUUGCUGAAGCUCACUACCAGGCGCGAUGGAAUGCAAUGGACAUCGGACAGUGGGAGACAAUGAGCCCGGAGAACCUCUUAAUCUGCCAUCCUGGAUUCUUGAGCCUUUAUGUCCUUUUAAGCCUCCUCAUGGCCCUUGGCCUCUUCUCUGUCAGUCCCCCAACAUGGAACUUCUGCCAAAAACUAACAUUUGCUUUAAUGUUUUAUCUUCAUCCUGUUUUUGUUUGCUCUGAUUUUCUUCAGGUGCAGGUGAUGUCAUGUCAAGGCAACGCUUCCAAUAUUUCCUAGAGUCUCUGCUACAGGAUCAGUGGCUGAUACCAACUAUCUCCUCCAUCCAGGACUGGUUCGAUGCCAUCGACGACUUGUGGUUUCAGGGAACUUUCAUAGACUUCACCCCUACGGAAGUAGCUGUCUAUAGCCACUGGGUUUUAUUUCUGGAUGCCAUGAUAUCCCCAGACCUGCCCCCAGAACAUUCCUCCACUUCCCAUUCUAGGCCCUACGCUGCCCCCGCACAGCCGGAAGCAGCCAGAUCUGACCAACGAUGCCCCAAUUCCUAAGAAAACAGAAAGGGAGGAAUGUUGGGAAAACACAUAAUGGCAGCAGCACCCCAGAGAAAAACCCCAACAUGACGCCUAAUGACCCUCUUUCUCCUCUUUUUCUUUCAUUGGCAUGAAACGUUCCCACCGGCGCCAAUGUUCAAAUCCUGCUUGUGGGAAGCCUUAGCCCCAAUAAGAAUUAACUUCUUGGGCUCCGGAACUGACAUAUGGAAGAGCUUGCCAAUAAACGGGCAACCCGUUAUCUACCUCAGCCCUGCUACCUCUCCUUAGACCUAUAUAAACACACAGCCUUUUGUAAUAAAGCGGAACCUCUUCGGU